GCCGGGUGUGGUGGUGCACACCUGUAGUCCCAGCUACUGGGAGGCUGAGGCAGGAGAAUCACUUGAACCUGGGAGGCGGAGGUUGCAGUGAGCUGAGAUCGCACCACUGCACUACUUCAGCCUGGGUGACAGAGCGAGACUCCGUCUCAG
Pan troglodytes (chimpanzee) is the source of this 150-nucleotide non-coding RNA. It matches the Rfam family "Metazoan signal recognition particle RNA". From Rfam's summary of the family: The signal recognition particle (SRP) is a universally conserved ribonucleoprotein. It is involved in the co-translational targeting of proteins to membranes. The eukaryotic SRP consists of a 300-nucleotide 7S RNA and six proteins: SRPs 72, 68, 54, 19, 14, and 9. Lineage: Eukaryota; Metazoa; Chordata; Mammalia; Primates; Hominidae. The record is from Rfam.